This 253-nucleotide ribosomal RNA is filed under the name uncultured bacterium. Its description in RNAcentral is "partial 16S ribosomal RNA". It matches the Rfam family "Bacterial small subunit ribosomal RNA", at positions 524 to 776 of the family's 1533-position model. The record is from RNAcentral.
UACAGAGGUGGCAAGCGUUGUUCGGAAUUACUGGGCGUAAAGGGCGAGUAGGUGGCCAUCUAAGUCAGACGUGAAAUCCCCCGGCUUAACCUGGGAACUGCGUCUGAUACUGGACGGCUAGAGUAUGGGAGAGGGAUGUAGAAUUCCAGGUGUAGCGGUGAAAUGCGUAGAUAUCAGGAGGAACACCAGUGGCGAAGGCGGGACUCUGGGCCGAUACUGACGCUGAGGAGCGAAAGCGUGGGGAGCGAACAGG